GAUCAUGGCUCAGGAUGAACGCUAGCGACAGGCUUAACACAUGCAAGUCGAGGGGCAGCAUUGUUUGUAGCAAUACAGGCAGAUGGCGACCGGCGCACGGGUGAUUAACGCGUAUGCAACCUGCCUAUCAGAGGGGAAUAACCCGGCGAAAGUCGGACUAAUACCGCAUAAAACAGGGGUCCCGCAUGGGAAUAUUUGUUAAAGAAGCGAUUCGCUGAUAGAUGGGCAUGCG
This 232-nucleotide ribosomal RNA is filed under the name uncultured bacterium. RNAcentral's name for it is "partial 16S ribosomal RNA". It matches the Rfam family "Bacterial small subunit ribosomal RNA", at positions 15 to 235 of the family's 1533-position model. The record is from RNAcentral.